RNAcentral lists this long non-coding RNA (3199 nucleotides) under Hordeum vulgare. RNAcentral describes it as "long non-coding RNA (HVUL_LNC015468)". Lineage: Eukaryota; Viridiplantae; Streptophyta; Magnoliopsida; Poales; Poaceae. The record is from RNAcentral.
AAGUUGUGUAUUCGUCAACACGAGUACAAGUUUGGAGCGCAUGGUAGGUACAACAUCGAAGGCCAUGCCGCUGAGCUACCCCGGCUCCGAUCCAUCAUCCUGCAUAGUGUCGGCCCGUCAAACUCCCACUCCAUUACCACACUCAGCGUGGGAAUAGUGAAGAUGGCCGUACUGGCUGCCCAUGGCAAAUCUCGCAAGACGACGUCGGACGUACAAUAUGUGUCCUGCGUCGGCCUUACGUGAGAGUCUCAUUGGCUAGCCAGUGGGUCCCAUAGCCAGAUGGGACCUUGUAGCCGGCGGGCCCCUCCAGCGACAAGACAAGACCACUAUGGACCCCCUGGUCAGCCGGCGAGGCUGCUAGCUGGGUCCCACUCAUGUACUUUUAUCCUUAUUGUAGGUCAGUGGGUUCGUCUAUAAAACCCCUCGACCUCCCUCCAUGCUGAGGGUCGGUCAAUCCUUCAUACACACACUCAUACAGGAGAGGUAGACACGAGCCGACUGCUCCUUUUUCCUCCUCCACAGAACAACUCUAGGAGCACAUUGUAGCCUCACUAGUGCAUUAUACACUCCGGCGGGAUUAGGGGUGUUAUCUCUACUGAGAGCCCUGAACCUGGGUACAUCAUGUGUUCCAUGCUUGCACCAACCUCGUCCCCAGCGCCCUCCGGUGUCCUUUCGAUUCUUACCAUCUUUAGGCUACCCAUGUCAUAUGUUGUGAGUAAACACCGACAUUUGGCGCCCACCGUGGGGCCGUCCGCGGCAUCGGCCAGAUUUCGCCUACACGGACGGAUGCUUCGUGUCCGAACCGAUCAGCAUGCCUGUGGAGCCUGCCCUUGAGGAGGUUUCUACGAUGUUGAUCGACGUCCCAUUCCGUUCAAAGAUGAACACUUUGGCUGCAAUUCAGUUCAAAGUUGAGUGUACAACCAUGUGCUCAUGAGUGUAAACUGCCAUGUAUAGAUUGUACAUUAUUAGAUCUAAACAAUACACAUCACUAUACAUAACUUGCAAUUUCCUUUGUUAAUUGAUGUUUGUACUCCCAAAUAAUGCAUGAAAUAGCUAUUUUACAGGGAAUAAGUAUUAGGGAGGCCAUCAUUUAUAUACCAACAAAGAGUAUGCAGAUACUACAACUUUCAUUGAGCCAUUUUUCAUUUCUAUCGAUUUCCAUCCCUGAAAUUCAGGCAGAUGCAUCUCGAUCUGAUUUCAAUCCCUCGAAAUUCAGAAACUUGAUGUGAUUUUGGAUUACUUUUAAUCGCCCUUCACGGCCACCUAUAAAACACAUUGUAUUGCAUCUCCAACACAUCUAGGCAUGUAUGUAAACUGUUAUCUGAGCAAGGACAGCCUAUAUUAGAAUCAUCAAAUACCUUGUACCAAGUAAAGAGUAAUCAUCAAGUACCAAGUAAAGAGUAUUACCGAGAAUCGUGCCUAGCUUUCUACCCAACUUGCAUAUUUCCUCUACCGUGCCUAGGCAAGCACCAAAUCAUACAAAUUGGAAUUCGGCGAGAUGCAUUGCAUCCUUCAACCAAUGAACGACCGUUGCCAACUCAUCUUCAUACUUGAAAUGGCCACCAAUCCACCUUCUUCCUGAAAAGCAGAGCAAAGAAGAACAGAGUAGAGAUAUAUUGGGAGAUACAAUUGAAGGUUGGAUUCCUUUGGAUUUCGUAUAACUUUCCAACGAAUAGCUGAUUGGUUUAGCACAUGUGCCAUGUGUUAAUGAACACUAAUUGACGACCGCAGUCCUUUGGAUCCUCUAAAGUUCAGAUGUCAUAAAACAAAAACACAAACACUAAUCCUGGAUGGGUGAAUGAAUCUGAAAUUGUCACGCCAUUGUGGUCGUGCAUAGCAUUCUGCCCGAGGAGAUGUGUCGCCGUCAGUUCUCGAAGGCGUAGAUGGCGAGCUCGCAGCUACGGGCCUACACAUCUAGUGUGACAUAGACCUAGAAAUUGCAAUGUUCAGGGUGUUCACACCGUGCAGCAGCACAAAACUGAACACAUAUAUAUAACAGUUACUUUUUCACAAUAUAUGUAGAAGAAUUGAACAUUCAGGAAGUCUUCCAUAGGUUUUAGUACCUGCAUACCCCAUGGUCGUUGCCAGUCACACUAACUAAUUUGUCAUCAUGAAGAACUACAUUAAUCUCAGUAGUAUAGCAUGUUUGAGCUUCAUCGACAGCAUUAUCUAGUAGUAUUUCAUAAACCUAGGACAUGCCAAAUGAAAAUGGUGGGCAGGCAAGAAACAAAAUGUAGCACCAAGUAACAUGGAAAAAAGAAAUGCAUAAUCCAUUGAGAUAUAUAUCAAAUGAUGCAAUCCACGUGGUCCUCGUCUUGUGCCUACAUAUUAAUAUUACUUCUAAGACCUGUAAGACCGUAAAUAUUAACAAGAGCAUCCUAUUAACAGGAAAUAAUUCAUCUACCUAUUUUCAACCGCAAUCGUAAACAAUACAACCACUGCAUUGGCAUUACCAGAUGGCACAACACAGUAGAGCUAGCAGCAACUGAAAAUCCGAAGCUCUCUACCAUUUGCAUCCAUGGCUGACCCAUCUUAUCAAUCGUAACUGCCAUUGACAUUCACAUGUACAAACAAUGCGGUGGUUCUACACGUGCUCAAUCCAGAUGUCAUUCUUUGUGAAGGGAAUAUGGAAUAGGCAGUAUUACCUUUCUUGUCAAUGCAGUGGUCAUGGUCGCGACGCAGUCCAUCAACAGGUGGAGGCCAUGGCGACCUUCGUCGAAGAGGACCUAGCCAGCUCCCAGCUUGCCACCAUCAAGGCCCACCGCAGCAACGAGCUCUCCUAUGUGCUGCACCCAGAAAAGGAGUGGAUCUGGAUCAAGCACAUACACAAAAAAUGGGAUGAUCAGGAGGCACUCGUGUGGGGAAGGGAGGGGUGUGACUCGAGGGAGUUGGUCAGCCAACGGAGAGCGGCUGCGAUAGAGGAGGAGGAGGAGAAGGAGAGAGAGAGGAGUUGGGGGGAGGUGCAGCGCCGGCGUCAAGUGUGGCCGACGGUGGAAAACCACAGGGGUGGGGAGCACUUCAUCUAGGGGUGCGAGAGGCUGCGGGGUAGGAUAUGGUGGCGCGCGACGGAGGCGUUGGGGACUGCGGCGAGCGUUGGAGGAGUCGGGACCGGCGGCGCACGACGUCGUGGCAGGGGGUGGCAGCGCGCUCGCGCUGGAGAUGGGAGUUAAGGUUGUGGGUGGUCUGGUAUUUAUUUAUU